Molecule: long non-coding RNA, 897 nt
Organism: Epinephelus fuscoguttatus (brown-marbled grouper)
Lineage: Eukaryota; Metazoa; Chordata; Actinopteri; Perciformes; Serranidae
Exons: 4
Source: RefSeq, a predicted model, not a curated record
AGACAGACAGGUGAGAGAGAGAUGGGACAGACGGACAGGUGGGACAGACAGACAGACAGACAGACAGACAGGUGAGGCAGGCAAACAGGUGGGACAGACAGACAGGUGAGGCAGACAGGUGGGGCAGAUAGGUAGGACAGACAGACAUACAGGAGAGGCAGACAGGUGGGACAGACAGACGAGUGAGGCAGACAGGUAGGACAGACCGACAGGUGAGGCAGACAGGUGGGGCAGAUAGGUAGGACAGACAGACAUACAGGAGAGGCAGACAGGUGGGACAGACAGACAGGUGAGGCAGACAGGUAGGACAGACAGGUGAGGCAGACAGGUAGGACAGACAGACAGGUGGGACAGACAGGAGGGACAGACAUACAGGUGAGUCAGACAGGUAGGACAGACAGACAGGUGAGGCAGACAGACAGGUGAGGCAGACAGGUGGGACAGACAGGUGAGGCAGACAGGUGAGACAGACAGACAGACAGGUAGGACAGACAGACAGGUGGGACAGACAGACAGGUGAGACAGACAGGUGAGACAGACAGACAGGUGAGAGAAACAGACAGACAGGUGAGUCAGACAGACAGACAGACAGACAGACAGGUGAGACAGAGAGUUGAGAUAGACAGACAGGUGGGACAGACAGAGACAGACAGAGACAGACAGGUGGGACAGAGAGUUGAGAUAGACAGACAGGUGGGACAGACAGAGACAGACAGGUGAGGCAGACAGGUGGGACAGACAGACAGGUGAGACAGACAGACAGACAGGUGAGACAGAGAGGUGAGAUAGACAGACAGGUGGGACAGACCGACAGACAGGUGGGACAGACAGACAGACAGGUGGGAUAGAAAGACAGGUGGGACAGACAGACAGGUGAGACAGACAGACAGACAGGUG